ACGGGAGGCAGCAGUGGGGAAUAUUGGGCAAUGGGGGAAACCCUGACCCAGCAACGCCGCGUGAAGGAAGAAGGUUUUCGGAUCGUAAACUUCUAUCCUUGGUGAAAAUAGUGAUGGUAGCCAAGAAGGAAGCCCCGGCUAACUACGUGCCAGCAGCCGCGGUAAUACGUAGGGGGCAAGCGUUGUCCGGAAUGAUUGGGCGUAAAGGGCGCGUAGGCGGCCUGGUAAGUUUGAAGUGAAAGUCCUUCUUUUAAGGAGGGAACUGCUUUGAAAACUGUCGGGCUUGAGUGCAGGAGAGGUAAGCGGAAUUCCCGGUGUAGCGGUGAAAUGCGUAGAGAUCGGGAGGAACACCAGUGGCGAAGGCGGCUUACUGGACUGUUACUGACGCUGAGGCGCGAAAGUGUGGGGAGCAAACAGGAUUAGAUACCCUGGUA
RNAcentral lists this ribosomal RNA (434 nucleotides) under uncultured bacterium. RNAcentral's name for it is "bacterial SSU rRNA". It matches the Rfam family "Bacterial small subunit ribosomal RNA", at positions 341 to 792 of the family's 1533-position model. The record is from RNAcentral.